AGAGUUUGAUCAUGGCUCAGAAUCAACGCUGGCGGCGUGCCUAACACAUGCAAGUCGCACGAGAAAGUGGAGCAAUCCAUGAGUAAAGUGGCGCACGGGUGAGUAACACGUGAAUGAUCUACCUCCGAGUGGGGAAUAACUGAGAGAAAUCUUAGCUAAUACCGCAUAAUACCCACGGGUCAAAGCAGCAAUGCGCUUGGAGAGGAGUUCGCGGCCGAUUAGCUAGUUGGCGGGGUAAUGGCCCACCAAGGCGAUGAUCGGUAUCCGGCCUGAGAGGGCGCACGGACACACUGGAACUGAAACACGGUCCAGACUCCUACGGGAGGCAGCAGUGGGGAAUUUUGCGCAAUGGGGGAAACCCUGACGCAGCAACGCCGCGUGGAGGAUGAAAUCCCUUGGGAUGUAAACUCCUUUCGAUAGGGAAGAUUAUGACGGUACCUAUAGAAGAAGCCCCGGCUAACUUCGUGCCAGCAGCCGCGGUAAUACGAGGGGGGCAAGCGUUGUUCGGAAUUAUUGGGCGUAAAGGGUGCGUAGGCGGUUUGACAAGUCUGAUGUGAAAUCUAUGGGCUCAACCCAUAGUCUGCAUCGGAAACUGUCGGGCUUGAGUAUGGGAGAGGUGAGUGGAAUUUCCGGUGUAGCGGUGAAAUGCGUAGAUAUCGGAAGGAACACCUGUGGCGAAAGCGGCUCACUGGACCAUUACUGACGCUGAGGCACGAAAGCUAGGGGAGCAAACAGGAUUAGAUACCCUAGUAGUCC
Molecule: ribosomal RNA, 756 nt
Filed under: uncultured bacterium
Lineage: Bacteria
Description: bacterial SSU rRNA
Rfam family: Bacterial small subunit ribosomal RNA
Source: RNAcentral